UGCCAGCAGCCGCGGUAAUACGGAGGGGGUUAGCGUUGUUCGGAAUUACUGGGCGUAAAGCGUACGUAGGCGGACUGAUCAGUGAGAGGUGAAAUCCCAGGGCUCAACCCUGGAACUGCCUUUCAUACUGUCAGUCUUGAGUUCGAGAGAGGUGAGUGGAACUCCAAGUGUAGAGGUGAAAUUCGUAGAUAUUUGGAAGAACACCAGUGGCGAAGGCGGCUCACUGGCUCGAUACUGACGCUGAGGUGCGAAGGCAUGGGUAGCAAACGGGAUUAGAUA
RNAcentral lists this ribosomal RNA (279 nucleotides) under uncultured bacterium. RNAcentral's name for it is "partial 16S ribosomal RNA". It matches the Rfam family "Bacterial small subunit ribosomal RNA", at positions 506 to 784 of the family's 1533-position model. The record is from RNAcentral.